GACGAACGCUGGCGGCGUGCUUAACACAUGCAAGUCGAACGGAAAGGCCUGCUUUCCCUUGUGGAUUGCGGGUACUCGAGUGGCGAACGGGUGAGUAACACGUGAGUGAUCUGCCCCCAACUUGGGUAUAAGCCUGGGAAACUGGGUCUAAUUCCCGAUAGGACUGCAGGGUGGUGCCUGUGGUGGAAAACGAUUUUCUAGUGGUUGGGGAUGAGCUCGCGGCCUAUCAGCUUGUUGGUGGGGUAAUGGCCUACCAAGGCGGCGACGGGUAGCCGGCCUGAGAGGGUGGACGGCCACAUUGGGACUGAGAUACGGCCCAGACUCCUACGGGAGGCAGCAGCGGGGAAUAUUGCACAAUGGGCGGAAGCCUGAUGCAGCGACGCCGCGGGGGGGAUGACGGCCUUCGGGUUGUAAACUCCUUUCGACCGCGAGGAAGCCACCUGGUUGGAAGGGUGGUGACGGUAGUGGUAGAAGAAGCACCGGCUAACUACGUG
This 494-nucleotide ribosomal RNA is filed under the name uncultured bacterium. RNAcentral describes it as "partial 16S ribosomal RNA". It matches the Rfam family "Bacterial small subunit ribosomal RNA", at positions 28 to 507 of the family's 1533-position model. The record is from RNAcentral.